CAGAUCUAGCUUGCUGGAUGCUGACGAGCGGCGGACGGGUGAGUAAUGCAUAGGAAUCUGCCCGAUAGUGGGGGAUAACCUGGGGAAACCCAGGCUAAUACCGCAUACGUCCUACGGGAGAAAGGGGGCUCCGGCUCCCGCUAUGGGAUGAGCCUAUGUCGGAUUAGCUAGUUGGUGAGGUAACGGCUCACCAAGGCCACGAUCCGUAGCUGGUCUGAGAGGAUGAUCAGCCACAUCGGGACUGAGACACGGCCCGAACUCCUACGGGAGGCAGCAGUGGGGAAUAUUGGACAAUGGGGGCAACCCUGAUCCAGCCAUGCCGCGUGUGUGAAGAAGGCCCUCGGGUUGUAAAGCACUUUCAGCGAGGAAGAACGCCUAGCGGUUAAUACCCGCUAGGAAAGACAUCACUCGCAGAAGAAGCACCGGCUAACUCCGUGCCAGCAGCCGCGGUAAUACGGAGGGUGCAAGCGUUAAUCGGAAUUACUGGGCGUAAAGCGCGCGUAGGUGGCUUGAUAAGCCGGUUGUGAAAGCCCCGGGCUCAACCUGGGAACGGCAUCCGGAACUGUCAAGCUAGAGUGCAGGAGAGGAAGGUAGAAUUCCCGGUGUAGCGGUGAAAUGCGUAGA
Molecule: ribosomal RNA, 624 nt
Filed under: uncultured bacterium
Lineage: Bacteria
Description: bacterial SSU rRNA
Rfam family: Bacterial small subunit ribosomal RNA
Source: RNAcentral